Molecule: ribosomal RNA, 588 nt
Filed under: uncultured bacterium
Lineage: Bacteria
Description: bacterial SSU rRNA
Rfam family: Bacterial small subunit ribosomal RNA
Source: RNAcentral
AUUGAACGCUGGCGGCAUGGCUAAAACAUGCAAGUCGAACGCGAACGUCCCUUCGGGGACUAUUAGAGUGGCGAACGGGCGAGUAAUACGUUUCUAACGUGCCUCGAGGUCGGGGAUAGCUCACCGAAAGGUGUGGUAAUACCCGAUGACCCCAUCGGACCGCAUGGUCUGUUGGGCAAAGGCUUGCUGCCUCGAGAUCGGGAAACGCGCUAUCAGGUUGUUGGUGGGGUAACGGCCUACCAAGCCUAAGACGGCUAGCGGGUGUGAGAGCAUGACCCGCCGCAUCGGGACUGAGACACUGCCCGGACUCCUACGGGAGGCUGCAGUAACGGAUCUUCCGCAAUGCGCGAAAGCGUGACGGAGCAAUGCCGCGUGCAGGAUGAAGCCCUUCGGGGUGUAAACUGCUGUCAGGGAUUAGGAAUUUUGACCAAACCCAAAGGAAGGGCCGGCUAACUCUGUGCCAGCAGCCGCGGUAAGACAGAGGGCCCGAGCGUUAAUCGGAAUCACUGGGCUUAAAGCGUGCGCAGGCGGACAUGUAAGUACCUUGUGAAAUCCCACCGCUCAACGGUGGAAUUGCAGGGUAUACUG